GUCUAUGGCCAUACCUCCCAGAACAUGCCGAUCUUGUGAAGCUAAGCAGGGUCGGGCCUGGCUGGUAGUUGGAUGGGAAACCACCUGGAAUUACUGGGUACUAUAGGCU
Molecule: ribosomal RNA, 109 nt
Organism: Cercocebus atys (sooty mangabey)
Lineage: Eukaryota; Metazoa; Chordata; Mammalia; Primates; Cercopithecidae
Source: Ensembl